UGAUUCCUACGGGAGGCAGCAGUGAGGAAUAUUGGUCAAUGGGCGAGAGCCUGAACCAGCCAAGUAGCGUGCAGGAUGACGGCCCUAUGGGUUGUAAACUGCUUUUAUGCGGGGAUAAAGUGCAGGACGUGUCCUUCAUUGCAGGUACCGCAUGAAUAAGGACCGGCUAAUUCCGUGCCAGCAGCCGCGGUAAUACGGAAGGUCCGGGCGUUAUCCGGAUUUAUUGGGUUUAAAGGGAGCGUAGGCCGUGGAUUAAGCGUGUUGUGAAAUGCAGGUGCUCAACGUCUGCACUGCAGCGCGAACUGGUUCACUUGAGUGUGCACAACGCAGGCGGAAUUCGUCGUGUAGCGGUGAAAUGCUUAGAUAUGACGAAGAACUCCGAUUGCGAAGGCAGCCUGCGGGAGCACAACUGACGCUGAAGCUCGAAAGUGCGGGUAUCGAACAGGAUUAGAUACCCUGGUAGUCCGCACGGUAAACGAUGGAUGCCCGUUGUCAGGCUGUUUCAGCCUGGUGACCAAGCGAAAGCAUUAAGCAUCCCACCUGGGGAGUACGCCGGCAACGGUGAAACUCAAAGGAAUUGACGG
Molecule: ribosomal RNA, 584 nt
Filed under: uncultured Prevotella sp.
Lineage: Bacteria; Pseudomonadati; Bacteroidota; Bacteroidia; Bacteroidales; Prevotellaceae
Description: bacterial SSU rRNA
Rfam family: Bacterial small subunit ribosomal RNA
Source: RNAcentral